UCUAAAGUGGCAGAAUAAUGCCCAAGAUUUAGGAUCUUGUUUAUGGAUUUAUAAUUAUCCCUUUAGAA
This 68-nucleotide transfer RNA is filed under the name Pagurus lanuginosus. RNAcentral describes it as "tRNA-Leu". Lineage: Eukaryota; Metazoa; Arthropoda; Malacostraca; Decapoda; Paguridae. The record is from RNAcentral.